Molecule: long non-coding RNA, 1824 nt
Filed under: Equus caballus (horse)
Lineage: Eukaryota; Metazoa; Chordata; Mammalia; Perissodactyla; Equidae
Description: lncRNA (ENSECAG00000048582.1)
Source: RNAcentral
AGAAACUGUAUGUUGUCUACAAAGUAUAAAAUAUUUACUCUCUGAACCUUUACAUAAUUAUUUGGGAAACAGCUUCUAGUGUGUAACUGGGACCCAGUAGAGCCUAAGUGGCUUACUAUGGGACGUCAGUGACAAUGCAACCUGAGCUCCCAAUCACAAGCUGGGUGUUAUAAGGUUACCAUGUCACAAGCUUAAGCAUUCCAUUGUACAGUGGAAAUGCUAGAUUUGGGAUUGAGUCCAAGCAGGACCAGAAGACAUGAGUAAAUUAUAACAACAGAUGACCUAAACUCCUAUGUCACUUACCUCUGCUGCACUGAAGGCUCUCUUUCAAUUCACUCCAAUUAUGGGGGCAGGAAACUUCGGCCUGGUUCACAGAAGGAUCAGCUAAUAUGUUGGUACUAAUAACAAAUGAACUAUGCUGCACCACGGUGAAGGGAAAUUCUCCCAGUAGGUAGAGCUGAGAACAGUACAUUUGUUCCUUCACUCCAUGUGGAGAGAUAAGUGGCCUGAGAUAUGGAUAACGUGGACUCAUCGUGGUGAAUGUUUUGUCUGCUUAAUCAGGGUCCUAGAAGAAGAAAAAUUGGAAGAUGAGGACAAGGAGGCUUGGGAAAAGGUAGAUGGAUGGACUUAAAGAGGCACGAAUCGUGUCGCUCUUUGUGUCUCAUUAUAAUGUCCACCAGAGAGCAAACACCACAAAGGAUGCACUCAGGAGCCAGUCUUGUUUUCCUCGGAGUUGACUUCAUUCCCUAUGUGGUGACAAAGAUGGCCACCAGCAGCUAGAGGUUACAUUCCAUCAACUUAGUAGACGAGCAGAGAGUGCCUCUUUUCUAAUAGCUCCAGUAACAUUCCAGACCUUGACCACCUAUCUGCAUCUUUGCCCCAGUUGCAAUCACUGGCACAUGCUUUUUGUGUUCUUACAGCCUACCAGUUCAAUCAACUGUGCGUGACCAAGAGGACGGAAAGCUUGGGGUGCUUCCAGUUAUUGCACAAUAAAAGCAGGCAAGGAACAAGUUGGCCUUUGAUAAAACAGUCUUUUGGGGCACAGAACUACUCUGGUGUGGCCUCUCUUCCUCCGUGAGUCCCCUUCCCCUCCUCGCCCUCACUUCCUGAUCCUUCAGCAACAACAGGAACUCAAGAGGCCCGGCAGGGCUAAGCCACAGCAGCCUCUGAUCUACAUGAAAUUCACUUUGAGGCUGCUUCUGGAUUAGAAAUACCAGGUGAUCCAUUUAACAGACAUCACAGCAGCCACCAGAGAGUUAUGUGAAGCCCCUAAAAUGACAGAGAAAACCAAUGUCAAGGGGACGUGUUGGUGAUUCUGCUAUAGUUAAGACAGGAAUGAGGAGAUGUUCACAGUCAGCAAAGUGAUGACACUCCAGCCACUGAGUGCCAACUCUUGUGUCUCAAUCCCUAUGACCUCAGUCCUACUGACAGGAGCACAUCUAAGACCAGCUCCAGCCAAGUCAAGCUCUUUGAAGUCUUUGUACAUCUUCAUCUAGGCAGAGGUGGAGAUGGUUCAGACUGGGCCUUGAGAUGCUGUCCCUUAAAACUUAGUCUAGUAUUGUGGAAGUGUAAAGAGCAAGGUGAAGCACAGUGGGGUUAGAGACAUAGGUAGGGACUGAGUCCCUGGAGCUUGCAGGGGAGGAGCCUCAGAGGGUUUGCAACAGGGAUGUGACAGGCUCGGAUCUACGUUUUGGAAAGAUCGCCCUGUAACAAUGUGGGGAACGCCUUGAAAAGGGCAAGACUAGAGGCAGAGAGCUGAGGUUAUUACAGUAGUCUGGUUAAGACAUUCAAAUAUCUCUUGGUGGUCACCAGAGGGGAAGGAGG